AACGAACGCUGGCGGCGCGCCUAAUACAUGCAAGUCGAGCGAGAAGACGUAGCAAUACGUUUGUAAAGCGGCGAACGGGUGAGGAAUACAUGGGUAACCUACCCUCGAGUGGGGAAUGACUAGCCGAAAGGUUAGCUAAUACCGCGUACGCUCCUUGGACUUUCGGUUCAGGGGAGGAAAGCGAUACCGUGGGUAUCGCGCUCUUGGAUGGGCUCAUGUCCUAUCAGCUUGNGGUGAGGUAACGGCUCACCAAGGCUUC
RNAcentral lists this ribosomal RNA (259 nucleotides) under uncultured bacterium. RNAcentral's name for it is "partial 16S ribosomal RNA". It matches the Rfam family "Bacterial small subunit ribosomal RNA", at positions 29 to 277 of the family's 1533-position model. The record is from RNAcentral.